This 73-nucleotide transfer RNA is filed under the name Erysipelotrichaceae bacterium. RNAcentral's name for it is "tRNA-Thr". It matches the Rfam family "tRNA". From Rfam's summary of the family: Transfer RNA (tRNA) molecules are approximately 80 nucleotides in length. Their secondary structure includes four short double-helical elements and three loops (D, anti-codon, and T loops). The record is from RNAcentral. RNAcentral also lists the same sequence under 1 other name. Lineage: Bacteria; Bacillati; Bacillota; Erysipelotrichia; Erysipelotrichales; Erysipelotrichaceae.
GCCGGCAUAGCUCAGUUGGUAGAGCAAAUCAUUCGUAAUGAUUAGGUCGCAGGUUCAAGUCCUGUUGCCGGCA